GCACCGGAACGUACCCAGUAAUGGGGGAUAACACAUCGAAAGAUGUGCUAAUACCGCAUACGCCCUGAGGGGGAAAGCGGGGGAUCGUAAGACCUCGCGUUAUUGGAGCGGCCGAUGCCGGAUUAGCUAGUUGGUGAGGUAAGAGCUCACCAAGGCGACGAUCCGUAGCUGGUCUGAGAGGACGACCAGCCACACUGGGACUGAGACACGGCCCAGACUCCUACGGGAGGCAGCAGUGGGGAAUUUUGGACAAUGGGCGCAAGCCUGAUCCAGCCA
This 276-nucleotide ribosomal RNA is filed under the name uncultured bacterium. Its description in RNAcentral is "partial 16S ribosomal RNA". It matches the Rfam family "Bacterial small subunit ribosomal RNA", at positions 115 to 394 of the family's 1533-position model. The record is from RNAcentral.